RNAcentral lists this ribosomal RNA (397 nucleotides) under uncultured bacterium. RNAcentral's name for it is "partial 16S ribosomal RNA". It matches the Rfam family "Bacterial small subunit ribosomal RNA", at positions 523 to 918 of the family's 1533-position model. The record is from RNAcentral.
AUACGUAGGUGCCAAGCGUUAUCCGGAUUUACUGGGCGUAAAGGGCGUGUAGGCGGUCUUGCAAGUCAGAAGUGAAAUUCCUGAGCUCAACUCGGGCGCUGCUUCUGAAACUGCAGGACUUGAGUGCUGGAGGGGAUAGCGGAAUUCCUAGUGGAGCGGUAAAAUGCGCAGAUAUUAGGAAGAACGCCGGUGGCGAAGGCGGCUAUCUGGACAGUAACUGACGCUGAGGCGCGAAAGCGUGGGGAGCAAACAGGAUUAGAUACCCUGGUAGUCCACACUGUAAACGAUGAAUGCUAGGUGUAGGAGGUAUCGACCCCUUCUGUGCCGCAGUAAACACAGUAAGCAUUCCGCCUGGGGAGUACGGUAGCAAGAUUAAAACUCAAAGGAAUUGACGGGG